Molecule: small nucleolar RNA, 83 nt
Filed under: Pelusios castaneus (West African mud turtle)
Lineage: Eukaryota; Metazoa; Chordata; Testudines; Pelomedusidae
Description: Small nucleolar RNA SNORD45 (ENSPCEG00000004493.1)
Rfam family: Small nucleolar RNA SNORD45
About the family: U45 belongs to the C/D class of snoRNA which contain the C (UGAUGA) and D (CUGA) box motifs. Most of the members of the box C/D family function in directing site-specific 2'-O-methylation of substrate RNAs.
Source: Rfam by way of RNAcentral
GGUCAGUGAUGAGACUCAACAUGUAUUAUCUGACUCUAAAGUUGAAGAUCACCACUUUAGCUCUAGAAUUACUCUGAGACCUG